This is a long non-coding RNA of Nannospalax galili (Upper Galilee mountains blind mole rat), 517 nucleotides long. RefSeq lists it as uncharacterized. The transcript has 4 exons. The record is from RefSeq and is a predicted model, not a curated record. NCBI's taxonomy places the organism in Eukaryota, Metazoa, Chordata, Mammalia, Rodentia, Spalacidae.
UUCCCAAAAGUUCUCAGAUGUUCGGGAAAGAUCAAUAAUUCUCCUGCUGCUGCUGAUGUAAGAGCACCAUGCUCUUGGACUUGCCAGCUUCCAGAACUGUAAGAGGGCUAGAAGAUGUUCAAGAAAUCAUAGGGGUGGAUGUGGAGGAUGGGGACCUUGCUGAACUAGAGUCUGGCGAUGUGCCCAGUGGUUCUAUUCUAUGACUGAGCUAUGUAACCCCAGUUGCUACACGAAUGAAAGCCUCCCAUGCCAUCGAUCAAUUCAACUCUUAUUUUAAUCCUGAUGUUGACAUACAAGUCCAUACAUAGUACAGGACCACAAGACGACAGAAGGGGAGAGCUCGCUCAGCAUGGAAGUGCCUUGUAUUGAUGGAAUAGGGACCAAGGAGUUGUGAAGGAAAACUGUCUUCCCUUUAUUUCAGAUAGCACAGUCUGCCAAAGCUUUUCUGCUCCUCUAACAACAUUUGUCUUUAGGUUUACCAACCUGUGGUUUAAAAUAAAUGCUUUUGUGCACCAAU